UGGAUGAGCCCGCGGCCUAUCAGCUUGUUGGUGGGGUGAGGGCCUACCAAGGCGGUGACGGGUAGCCGGCCUGAGAGGGCGACCGGCCACACUGGGACUGAGACACGGCCCAGACUCCUGCGGGAGGCAGCAGUGGGGAAUAUUGCACAAUGGGCGGAAGCCUGAUGCAGCGACGCCGCGUGAGGGAUGACGGCCUUCGGAUUGUAAACCUCUUCCUCCGGGACCAAGCCAAAUCCAUGUUCUUUUUAGGCCUGCACCCGCCUGCCCUUUUAUGA
This 275-nucleotide ribosomal RNA is filed under the name uncultured actinomycete. RNAcentral describes it as "partial 16S rRNA". It matches the Rfam family "Bacterial small subunit ribosomal RNA", at positions 222 to 472 of the family's 1533-position model. Lineage: Bacteria; Bacillati; Actinomycetota; Actinomycetes; Actinomycetales. The record is from RNAcentral.